UCGGGAAUCUUGCGCAAUGGGCGAAAGCCUGACGCAGCAACACCGUGUGGGUGACGAAGGCCUUCGGGUCGUAAAGCCCUGUUGUUGGGGACGAAGGGUUAGGGGUUAAUAGCCCCGAGCCUGACGGUACCCUUCGAGGAAGCCCCGGCUAACUACGUGCCAGCAGCCGCGGUAAUACGUAGGGGGCGAGCGUUGUCCGGAAUUAUUGGGCGUAAAGAGCGUGUAGGCGGUUCGGUAAGUCCGCCGUGAAAGCUUGGGGCUCAACCCCAAGUUUGCGGUGGAUACUGUCGGACUAGAGGGUGGUAGAGGCGAGUGGAAUUCCCGGUGUAGCGGUGAAAUGCGCAGAUAUCGGGAGGAACACCAGUAGCGAAGGCGGCUCGCUGGGCCAUACCUGACGCUGAGACGCGAAAGCGUGGGGAGCGAACAGGAUUAGAUACCCUGGUAGUCCACGCCGUAAACGAUGAACACUAGGUGUGGGCGGAGUCGAAUCUGUCCGUGCCGCAGCCAACGCGAUAA
This 516-nucleotide ribosomal RNA is filed under the name uncultured bacterium. RNAcentral describes it as "bacterial SSU rRNA". It matches the Rfam family "Bacterial small subunit ribosomal RNA", at positions 355 to 863 of the family's 1533-position model. The record is from RNAcentral.